This 301-nucleotide ribosomal RNA is filed under the name uncultured bacterium. RNAcentral describes it as "partial 16S ribosomal RNA". It matches the Rfam family "Bacterial small subunit ribosomal RNA", at positions 509 to 807 of the family's 1533-position model. The record is from RNAcentral.
CAGUAGCCGCGGUAAUACGUAGGUGGCAAGCGUUGUCCGGAAUUAUUGGGCGUAAAGGGCUCGCAGGCGGUUUCUUAAGUCUGAUGUGAAAGCCCCCGGCUCAACCGGGGAGGGUCAUUGGAAACUGGGAAACUUGAGUGCAGAAGAGGAGAGUGGAAUUCCACGUGUAGCGGUGAAAUGCGUAGAGAUGUGGAGGAACACCAGUGGCGAAGGCGACCCUCUGGUCUGUAACUGACGCUGAGGAGCGAAAGCGUGGGGAGCGAACAGGAUUAGAUACCCGGGUAGUCCCUGUCUCUUAUAC